UCCCACAGAGCGGCGGAGCGGAGAGGGCGGGUGCGCGGGCGUUGCGCAGAGCCCGCCGGGACCUGGAGUCCUCGGCUGGACUCGGCGGUGGGGGCAGAGGUUGCAGACGCCCGCUCGGGGAGGCCGCUGGGCGGAGCCUUGCGGGGCAGGGCGGGGCGGCACCCCUCUGGGGCGGGGCUCUGGCCCCUAUUGGAACCUAGUGUUAGGACAGGAAAACGGCCAGUGGUUUCCAGUAAACCCGCGCUCUACAAGACUACCGGCGGGCGAGGGAUGGGAGCUCCGCCCACAGCAGCCCGCGGGUGACAGCAGUCUGCUCAGCCGCCGACGCCCACCCUACUCUGCGAAAGGAGCAGCAGCUGGCGGAAAGAGCUAUUUUCAUCUCCAUCUCCUCUCCUAGACGUUUGCGAAUGCAUCAUCCUCCCGGAUGUAAACUCAGGGUUGUUUCUAAAUUCCCCUAAACUGGAGCUCUCUAUUGGGUCUCUUCCUUGGUCAGAAGUGAGUUACACAUCGAUCCCCAUUACCGCCAAAAGAAAAAAGAAGAGAACAAGAAAUGAGCUGCUUGUGUGCAGGAUCCGCUCUUUAAAUUGACUAAAUGCUAUUAAAUGAAUGCGAGCCAUCAAGCUUUCUUGUUCUUUACAUAAUGCUGGCCACAGAGCUAGAUCUCCUGGGACAAAAUUCUUGUCUGCCAGGAAGCCUUCUAAUCUCAUAAGUAUGCAUAGAUAUAGGCCGUCCUGUGCCAGCGAGGCCCAGGCCUGUUCCUGGGGGAGUUCUUUCCAAUGCGAUGUCUAGACCGUUUAUGCUGUCAGUGCUAAGGCAGAGGUGCUGGAGCAGAUACGAGAAUCACUGCCAAAUGAGGAUUUAUGGCAGUUUUGCACUAUUAAUAGCUGUGGGCACUGGCAAGCAAAACACGCCAAAGGAAGUGCAGCCUGUCCUUAGAGAGCAAGGCUGGAGGGGCCAAGCUCCUGGAAAGAUAUGUGCAUCGCAGAGUAUCUUUACCGGACACUGCAUAGGAAAACCUGGACAGUCUCACACACCUUGCCUGUCCACACCAAAGUAGCAGAAAAAUGAAACUUAGCUGCUGCCUGGAGCAAGGGUUUUCUUCCAGGGGCUAGAGGAGAGGACAGAGCAAGGUUGAGGGACAAGCCUCCAGAAUGAGGACCCACUGGGGGACAGAUGAAUCCUCAGAGUGGAAGAGAAAAGAAGAACCACCCCACUGUGGGCCAGGAAGCUGCCCUGGAGCAGGCCCAGGUCACCAUUGCCCAAGCAUUACUGACUAAGAUGCAAGCACCGGCAUGUGUUGAAUUUACAUUUAAAUAAGUAAUAUCAAAUACAAUGCAAAAUCCUG
Molecule: long non-coding RNA, 1345 nt
Organism: Chinchilla lanigera (long-tailed chinchilla)
Lineage: Eukaryota; Metazoa; Chordata; Mammalia; Rodentia; Chinchillidae
Exons: 2
Source: RefSeq, a predicted model, not a curated record